CCUACGGGAGGCAGCAGUGAGGAAUAUUGGACAAUGGCCGGAAGGCUGAUCCAGCCAUGCCGCGUGAAGGAAUAAGGUCCUAUGGAUUGUAAACUUCUUUUGUACGAGAGCAAUAAGUGUCACGCGUGACACGAUGAGAGUAUCGUACGAAUAAGCAUCGGCUAACUCCGUGCCAGCAGCCGCGGUAAU
Molecule: ribosomal RNA, 189 nt
Filed under: uncultured rumen bacterium
Lineage: Bacteria
Description: partial 16S ribosomal RNA
Rfam family: Bacterial small subunit ribosomal RNA
Source: RNAcentral